RNAcentral lists this ribosomal RNA (504 nucleotides) under uncultured bacterium. RNAcentral describes it as "bacterial SSU rRNA". It matches the Rfam family "Bacterial small subunit ribosomal RNA", at positions 15 to 518 of the family's 1533-position model. The record is from RNAcentral.
GAUCCUGGCUCAGGAUGAACGCUGGCGGCGUGCCUAAUACAUGCAAGUGAAACGGGUAUCUUCGGAUACCGGUCGCGGACGGGUGAGUAAUACAUAGGCAACCUGCCUUUAUGAGGGGGAUAACCGAGGGAAACUUUGGCUAAUACCGCAUGAAGACUCUAAGGCAUCUUAGAGGGAUAAAAGUUGGGAAACAACGCAUGAAGAUGGGCUUAUGGCGCAUUAGCUAGUUGGUGAGAUAGAAGCCCACCAAGGUAAUGAUGCGUAGCCGACCUGAGAGGGUGAACGGCCACAUUGGGACUGAGACACGGCCCAAACUCCUACGGGAGGCAGCAGUAGGGAAUUUUCGGCAAUGGGGGGAACCCUGACCGAGCAACGCCGCGUGAAGGAAGAAGGUUUUCGGAUUGUAAACUUCUGUUAUAAGGGAAGAACGGAUUGGAUAGGGAAUGAUCUGAUAGUGACGGUACCUUAUUAGAAAGCCACGGCUAACUACGUGCCAGCCGCCGC